Molecule: unclassified non-coding RNA, 225 nt
Filed under: Hevea brasiliensis (rubber tree)
Lineage: Eukaryota; Viridiplantae; Streptophyta; Magnoliopsida; Malpighiales; Euphorbiaceae
Source: RNAcentral
UGUAUGAACCAACCUGUUCCAUGUCAUUGUUGAGAGAGAGGAGAUGUUGUGAGCCACUGUGUUUCUCCAUUCUUGUUUGUAUGAGCUAGCCAAGUAAGGUUUUAGUUUUAUUUAAGUUAAAAGACAAUUAAAAAAAAAAAAUUAGCAUUCUUGCCUCGGUGCCUCUUGCCUCUGUCGUUGGGGGGCGCUUGCCUCCUCAAAGCCAAGCCAGGCAGUGCUAGGCGA